Molecule: ribosomal RNA, 754 nt
Filed under: Acinetobacter johnsonii
Lineage: Bacteria; Pseudomonadati; Pseudomonadota; Gammaproteobacteria; Moraxellales; Moraxellaceae
Description: bacterial SSU rRNA
Rfam family: Bacterial small subunit ribosomal RNA
Source: RNAcentral
AUUGAACGCUGGCGGCAGGCUUAACACAUGCAAGUCGAGCGGGGAAGGGUAGCUUGCUACCUGACCUAGCGGCGGACGGGUGAGUAAUGCUUAGGAAUCUGCCUAUUAGUGGGGGACAACAUUCCGAAAGGAAUGCUAAUACCGCAUACGCCCUACGGGGGAAAGCAGGGGAUCUUCGGACCUUGCGCUAAUAGAUGAGCCUAAGUCAGAUUAGCUAGUUGGUGGGGUAAAGGCCUACCAAGGCGACGAUCUGUAGCGGGUCUGAGAGGAUGAUCCGCCACACUGGGACUGAGACACGGCCCAGACUCCUACGGGAGGCAGCAGUGGGGAAUAUUGGACAAUGGGCGCAAGCCUGAUCCAGCCAUGCCGCGUGUGUGAAGAAGGCCUUUUGGUUGCAAAGCACUUUAAGCGAGGAGGAGGCUACUUGGAUUAAUACUCUAGGAUAGUGGACGUUACUCGCAGAAUAAGCACCGGCUAACUCUGUGCCAGCAGCCGCGGUAAUACAGAGGGUGCGAGCGUUAAUCGGAUUUACUGGGCGUAAAGCGUGCGUAGGCGGCUUUUUAAGUCGGAUGUGAAAUCCCUGAGCUUAACUUAGGAAUUGCAUUCGAUGCUGGGAAGCUAGAGUAUGGGAGAGGAUGGUAGAAUUCCAGGUGUAGCGGUGAAAUGCGUAGAGAUCUGGAGGAAUACCGAUGGCGAAGGCAGCCAUCUGGCCUAAUACUGACGCUGAGGUACGAAAGCAUGGGGAGCAAACAGG